RNAcentral lists this long non-coding RNA (309 nucleotides) under Brassica napus (rape). RNAcentral's name for it is "long non-coding RNA (BNAP_LNC026541)". The record is from RNAcentral. Lineage: Eukaryota; Viridiplantae; Streptophyta; Magnoliopsida; Brassicales; Brassicaceae.
CUAUUUGCUCACACCUUAGAAGCCUUAAGCCUUUAGGUUGUUUUUUCUAUACUAUUUGCGUUUCGUACUAUACUAUUACUAAUACAUUCGAACCGUUAACAAUAGAAAUCCUAAACACAACAUCCCCACUCAUACUAAAUUCUAAAUCCAUUACAAUAACACCUUUUAAUAAUACAAAACCUCAUCAACACCCCCACCCUUAUUGAAAACUAAACCCAACCCCUGCCCCCCCCCCUCACACCCGUAACCCUAUACACAUUACGAUUACCCAAUAUAACGUGAUAUUAUAAAUCGUCAUACAUGAAAUAG